UGGGGAAUAUUGCACAAUGGGCGCAAGCCUGAUGCAGCCAUGCCGCGUGUGUGAAGAAGGCCUUCGGGUUGUAAAGCACUUUCAGCGAGGAGGAAGGGUUCAGUGUUAAUAGCACUGUUCAUUGACGUUACUCGCAGAAGAAGCACCGGCUAACUCCGUGCCAGCAGCCGCGGUAAUACGGAGGGUGCAAGCGUUAAUCGGAAUUACUGGGCGUAAAGCGCACGCAGGCGGUUUGUUAAGUCAGAUGUGAAAUCCCCGCGCUUAACGUGGGAACUGCAUUUGAAACUGG
This 289-nucleotide ribosomal RNA is filed under the name uncultured bacterium. Its description in RNAcentral is "partial 16S ribosomal RNA". It matches the Rfam family "Bacterial small subunit ribosomal RNA", at positions 355 to 636 of the family's 1533-position model. The record is from RNAcentral.